GGUAGCGUGGCAGAGCGGUCUAAGGCGCUGGUUUAAGGCACCAGUCUCCUCCGGGGCGUGGGUUCGAAUCCCGCCGCUGCCA
Molecule: transfer RNA, 82 nt
Filed under: Pollicipes pollicipes
Lineage: Eukaryota; Metazoa; Arthropoda; Thecostraca; Pollicipedomorpha; Pollicipedidae
Description: tRNA-Leu
Rfam family: tRNA
About the family: Transfer RNA (tRNA) molecules are approximately 80 nucleotides in length. Their secondary structure includes four short double-helical elements and three loops (D, anti-codon, and T loops).
Source: RNAcentral